CAAAAUAAUAAAUUAUUUUAGUCCUAUUUUACACAAUUCAAAAAUUAGCUAAUGGAAAGGGCUACUUUUAUUCAUGUGUUAUGAUUGACAGUUUUAUAUCAAUAGUAACUCAGUUACUAUUGAUAUAAACACAAGUGCUCAGUGUUAUGAAUUCUUAUGUAAGAAAUAAGUAGCACAAUCAUAAUAAAAUAUUUCAGCAUUUCUGUCUUUUAAUAUAUUGUUACUAAUCAUAGUCAUCUGUUUUGAUUUUGAUAAGGAAAAAAGCAGUUCUUUCUGUUGUCAGUAAGCAUUAUUUUGAUGGGUAAAACUGUACAAAUGCAUAAAAGAACAAAAUGAAACAAGCCCAGUUGUGACAUCUUCCAGAGAGUAUGCAGAUUUCUCCUCAAUGGGUGAGACAUCAUAUGUUCAAAAUCCAGAAUUAUCUAGAAAAAUCAUAAAAAGCUAAGUAAAGCAUUAUGCAAAUACUAUUAUAGGAUUUCUAUGAUAACGAAAAAAGUAGAAACAGCAAAAGAUUUGUUUUUAUUGUAGCAAGGUCCACAAAAUAUAUUAAUAUACAAAUCCUACAAAAGAAGCAUUUUUCAAGAAGCCUUAACGAAUAUUUAAGACAUGAAGUUAUAUUCCACUCAGUUUGAUAGGAAAAUUUGGUAUUAAAAUUAACUAUUUAAUGAUAGCCUAAUGAAGUUCAAAUAGACCAUUUAUAAUCUUUAAAAAAACAGGAAGAAAGUUAGGGAAUUCUGUGUUGUGGCAAUCACAAUUAGUAAAGUCUGAACAGUUUAUAAUAGUAAAAGAUAGCCAUGCUUAGUGGCACAUACUUGCAAUCCUAUCAUUCUGGAGGCAAAGGCAUCAAGAUCAUGAGUUUGAAGCCUGACUAUGCUACAUAGCAAGAUUUUAUCUCAGCAUGGAAAACAGCAUGGGAUGCUGCUCUGGACAUGAAACAAAACCAUGGCUUGAGAACAAGGGGUAAUGAGUGUCAGUGAGUAAACCCUGGCAUGUAAUAGGACGUAGUGCCAUGCAUCCCCAAGUAUGGGGAGGCAAAGUAUGGCAUUCAAAUUCAUGUAUUUUAAAAAGAUGUAGUAUGUGUGUAUGUAUGUUGAUAGACACAUGUACCACAGUACUUAGCAAGAGUGUACAUUUAUCAAACUCAUAAAUAGAUACAUAUGUUAGAUCAAGUUUAUGAUCCAGAGCAUUAAAACAACUUGGUGUUAUUUAGUAAAGAUCCUGUAAACUACAAAAUCACUUAGAAAAUUAAUAUGUGGGGCUCAUUUUUAAGAUCUAAUAGUCAAUGACACCUUUCUAACAUAUUUUGAACAGAAACGUUAAUACUUAUCAAUACUUAGAAACAAAAACUGCAUGGAGUUUAUGAUGUGCUUCUGUUUGUCCUAAGGGCAUAUUAUCUUAUUUGUUUUUUUCCAAUCAUCCUAUCAUGUAAAUUCUAUAGUCAAUAAUUUGCAGCCACUGUGAAAACUGAGACUUAGGGAGGUUGAGAUUGCUAUAGUCACAGGGUCAGUGAUAGUCCAUUAAUUACAAGUUUGAUUUCUCAGUCACUGCAUUGUCUUACAGAUAUAACUGUCUUAAAGUGAGACUCAAAAAUCACAUGAGCAAAACCAGAAGGAAAUCUUCCUUUAUAAUAGUCUAAAAAUAAAGAUGUGUUGGGGUGUUGGAGAGAUGGCUACAAAGUUAAGAGCUCUGGCUAGUCUUCAAGAAGAUCCUGAUCCAAUUCCUAGUUCUCAUCUGGCAGCUCACACUGUCUGUUAUUCCAGUUCCAAAGAAUCUGACACCAUCCUUCUGGCCUCUGUGGGCAUGGGCAUGGAUGUGGUGCAUAGACAUACAUGCUGGCCAAACACCCAUACAUAUAAAUGUAGAAUGAAAAAAGUUCACAAAACGAUAAAUCAUACAAGAACUUAUUUCGAUAAUUUAUUAGGUCUUCAGUAGAAACAAAUAAAAUUAUGCAUUAAUUUUAUUAAUAAAUUAAUAAAAACAAUUAUUUUUAUUAAUUAAAAUUAUGAUUUAUUUUUAUUAACAAAAUUAGGAAGAGCACAUGCACAGAAUAUGAAAUGCAAGUCCUUGUAAACCUGGGAAAAUCAAGCAUCCUUAAUCAUGGUAGUUAUUACAACUGUACAAAAUUUAAAUUUUGUCUAAGACCCAAGUGUUUGCAAAUACUAUGUUGAUGAGGGUUGUGGAAAUAGGUAAUAUUUUAUAUUGCUUGUAACAGUGUUUCUGGUGCAUAAAUGUGACCUGGAGGAGUAUUCCUCUCUAUGGGAUCACUCAAAUAAAAGAAUGUUAACAACAACCUCAAUCAGAACAGUAACAUUUUAGAAAUGACCAAGUUGUAAGUUGACAGCUGAUUAAAAAUGGUUACAGCAGCCCAGUAGAAUGUUGGGACUGUAGAUUUAAAAGUGAAGCAAACACGAAAGAAUCUGCAUGGGGAAUAUUGUGUGAACAGGAACAUAUGUGGAUGUUUAUAGAAUUAAGUCGUUCAUAGAGAGUAAGAAUGUAUGUGCAAAAGUUUCUCAAAGCAUCCACAGAAUAAUCACAUAUGUGAAGAUAUAAAACAUAUGUUACAGAUAUAAAACCCUUCAUACACACAUACACAACUGUCGUGUGUAGGUGAAUGCACACAGAAAUCACAUAGUGUAAGCAUGUAAAAAAUGCAGAGUGGAAGUGUCAGAUUUUUUAAUACAUUUGACUCCUUUGUUUUGUGAAGAAUCAAAAUGUAAUUCAGUGGACUUCAAAAAGAAACAUUAUUUAAAUGUCUUAACGGAAAGCAGAUGCCUAUAAUGGAAGCAUCUGGGGACCAAGUCAGGAGUACUGUAAGUGAAGGCCAGGCUGGACUUCAGUGUGAGACCAAGCAGUGAAUCACUGCUGCAAUCACCAGGAAAAGACAGCACUUCUGACAGCUCCUGCAGGUGCAGGCAUCAAUUUCCUGAAUAGGUCUUGGGGCUUUGGUAUAGACAUGUGGUACUAUGAACUAUAAAGUUGAAUGCAGUCAUGCAUAUGUAUUUUGGACUACUCAUUCUAUAUUUGCUCGAGCUUCCUGAAGAAAAGUAUUUAAAAAUUACUGAAAUGAUAACUGAAAUCCUGGGGAAGAUGCUCAGCAUUUGCCUGUGGCCUUUACCUUUGCAUGCACACAUUUCUGCAUGAGCAUGAAUAUACAACAUAUGUAUAUAGCACAAAAAGCAAUGGCCCACUCUAAGUUUGUAUAGGAAUUUUUGGAUGAUUGAAUUUGAUACAUAUUUGGGAGUCUAAAUUCUUGUUAAAGAUGUAGCUUGUGCUUGUUUUCCUGCAUUUUGUAUGUUGUCACACCACUCUCCUACAUCUCUUUCCUGUAUGUGAUCUUUAAUUUCUUUCUUAGUUUCACUAUUUUAUGCAUGAAUAAUUACACAAUCCAUUUGUGAAAAAGAUUAAAAUGCUACUAUUUGCUGCAAUACAUCUAGACUUGGAAACCAAACUUACUUUAAAAAAAAUGACACACAAGAUAGCAGGAACUGAAUGAUUUCACUCCUGUGGAAUUUCAAAAAGCUGAGCUUAUAGAAGUGAAUGCUGAAUAGCACUGACCAGAGAUCAGGGAGCUUAAGAGAAGUUUGGUGAAUAGGGAAAAUAGUUAAUGAUCAUGCAGGCAGUGGCAGAGGAGAAUGAGCUCUGGUCUUUAUCUCACAGAAAAGUUAACAUAUUUAGCAGUAAAAUGUUUAAAAUAAACAGAAAACAAAAUUUGAAUGUUCUCAUCACUAGUCUCAAUGUCCCGAGUUGAUCAUUACACAAUGGACAAUUGUGUGAAAAUAUAACAUUGUAAUUCCUAUUAGAGUAUGAGAAACUAUCUGGGGAGAACAAAAUGCACAUUUUUAUAGCAGCCACAAAAGUCCAUAUUCACCAUAAAUUCACCAGUACAUAGAGAAAUAACACACACAAGCAGAGUAAUCACACAAACACAAGCAGUCACGUAUUCACUUUAAGAGGUACAUUUAAUACACAGGUCUCAUGUAUGUAUUCACAUACUAAUACACCUCACACAAACGUACACCAUUCACAUGUGUAUUUAAUAUAAAACAUAUACUUAAGAUCACAGAAAGUUGCAUUUACAGGUUCUCACUUUGAUAUGUACUUAAAACUUAAGAACUAAGGUAACUGUGGAAUCAUUGCACUUUGUACACCCAAACAUAUACAAACACACAGACAUCUUUUCAAGGAAUCCCAUAAUGGUGUAUACUCAUUCACAAACACAUCAGCAUUUUGCACACAGAACAAGUUUUCACAUAUACAGAAAUUCAUUUACAUAAAUGCUCACACAAGUCAUAAAGCAAACAUGUGCACACACAAAAUUAUAGUCACAACCCUCUAAUAUACACUCAAGUAAGCAGAUUAACAAUAUAAAAAUGAAAAUACAAGUAUGCACAAACACACAUACAUUUCACAAAGAAACAUACACCAAGCAUACCCAAACACAUACAAGCUCAUGUGACUAUGCACAUAUAAAAACACAAACACGGCAGAGUAGCACUUUCACACACCUCUAUGUUUCCAGCAGCCUCUAACAUUUGUUCUGUGUAGAACUUGUAAAAUCCUGCACCUGCAUUUUCUUAAACCUUUCCUUCAGGACUGUUUUCACCUAAGUGGUUGGUUGUUUUGUCACCAUCCAAAUCUGCAUUAAAUACUUGAAUAUCUUUUCCUUGCUAAUUUAUCAUUGUUCCAUUCUAGGACCUCUCUCCUUUUCUGGAUCUCUCGUUACUUUUCUGUUGUGAACUCUUCACUCUGAAGCUUGCGUAUCCCAUGGCUGCCUCCUCAGGUUCUCAUUGAUGGUGAUUGUCUCAUGAUGUCCACUCCAUCACCUUCCCCAUUGCAGUUUCACCCAGGACAUCAACUCUCUCUAGGAAGCUGCUUUUCCAGUAUGCCUCCAGAAGUCCACCAGCUUGCUACUACUGUAUGAAUAAUAAAAACAAAACAAAAAAGCCAUGUUUCACGUCGUGACCACCGGAGGGCCGUCUAGGAUCAAUCUUGGAAUGGAACCAGCUGACAGUUGUGCCCAUCUGCUCCUGAGCUCUCCACUGUGGGCCACAUAUCUUCAUCUUUCAUUUGUAUCUCUUUGCUUGCUCUGGGGGGAAUACAGUCUACUGUAAUUAAUUGUACUUGCCUAAGGCAUAUUAAAAUACUGCUCUUGCUUCACUUUAGUCUAAAUUGGAAAGAUUUACAAUUUCACAAGCAAUUCCUACAUCGUUUGCCACUGUGUCGAUGGAGGAACCUUCCAAUGACAUGGUACAGGCUGGCAGUUCUGUUCUAUGCAUGUGUUUGUCUGCCUGGAGAACAAUUGAACCCAGGCCCUUUGGCAUGCCAGGCAAGGGCUAAGUCAUUAAACAUCUUCAGCCAUAUUAUCUUUACAGGUAAGCAGAGGAUCUGCUAAGUUAUAGAUCACAUCAAGGACUUACAGCCACAGUUAUUUUAUGGGAAUAACAAAGGCUGCUAAAUUCCCACAGCAGGGAGGCACCACUUUCUUACAUUGUAUGCCCCAAAACACUCAGGCAAGCCACAUAGCUCUUGUGUUUUGCAAGUAUGUAUUUUCUUCUCAGUGCUACUUAGGCAGCUAUGUAAAAGCCAAGACCCUGCCUCCCUCCAAAACGAUGCGACUCCAGUGAAAAGUUGUCCAUCAAUUUAUCAUUUCAU
This 5652-nucleotide long non-coding RNA is filed under the name Cricetulus griseus (Chinese hamster). RNAcentral describes it as "lncRNA (ENSCGRG00015042174.1)". Lineage: Eukaryota; Metazoa; Chordata; Mammalia; Rodentia; Cricetidae. The record is from RNAcentral.